This 253-nucleotide ribosomal RNA is filed under the name uncultured bacterium. RNAcentral describes it as "partial 16S ribosomal RNA". It matches the Rfam family "Bacterial small subunit ribosomal RNA", at positions 524 to 776 of the family's 1533-position model. The record is from RNAcentral.
GACGUAGGGCGCGAGCGUUGUCCGGAUUUAUUGGGCGUAAAGAGCUCGUAGGCGGCUUGUCGCGUCGGCUGUGAAAACCCGCGGCUCAACUGUGGGCGGGCAGCUGAUACGGGCAGGCUGGAGUUCGGUAGGGGAGACUGGAAUUCCUGGUGUAGCGGUGAAAUGCGCAGAUAUCAGGAGGAACACCUGUGGCGAAGGCGGCUUUCUGGGCCCUACCUGACGCUGAGACGCGAAAGCGUGGGGAGCGAACCGG